Long non-coding RNA from Chenopodium quinoa (quinoa), 600 nucleotides. RefSeq lists it as uncharacterized. Lineage: Eukaryota; Viridiplantae; Streptophyta; Magnoliopsida; Caryophyllales; Amaranthaceae. The transcript is spliced from 2 exons. The record is from RefSeq and is a predicted model, not a curated record.
UAAGCUCAAAAGAACAUAACCUUACUAUCUCUAGCUUCAAUUAUGGGAAUAUCUUGAACUUCCAUUGUUUUUAUAGAAAACAUUAAAUUACGAGUACAAAUUAUAGAACACGAAAGGGAAAGGAAUUGGGGUUUGUAGUUUGUAGUUUGUACAACAACGAAGAGGAAUUGGGGAAAAAAAGAGGCGAUAGCGAGCCGAUAGUCGAAAACAGAGACGAGUUUUGUACUUCCUUGACGAUUAAUUAGUUUUGUAAAUCAAUUGCGACGAGGUUCUUAUUCAAAGGUUUAGUAAGCAUUGGGAGCUGAAGUAGGAACUGAGACGAAGGAGCUUUAGAAGAACCAUGAGGGCAAGUAAAGACAGAAGAAGAGUUCCAGCAAUGGAACUUCCCGAAUUUUCUUAACAGAAACUUCAAAACGGGUUGUAACGACCUGGUUCCGGUGUAAUGCUGGGGCAAGCCUCAACAACCAAGGAUCAGUGCAAAGAUCGAGAUAUCAACCGAAAAAGAUGGACUUCAUAACUUAUAGUUGUAUAAAAGAUAAGUUUAAUUUGUAGGUUGAUGUAAACUCAUUAAUGGCUGUUAUGCAUGGAACUUAUUAGAAA